This 712-nucleotide ribosomal RNA is filed under the name uncultured Flavisolibacter sp. RNAcentral's name for it is "bacterial SSU rRNA". It matches the Rfam family "Bacterial small subunit ribosomal RNA", at positions 94 to 803 of the family's 1533-position model. Lineage: Bacteria; Pseudomonadati; Bacteroidota; Chitinophagia; Chitinophagales; Chitinophagaceae. The record is from RNAcentral.
ACCGGCAAACGGGUGCGGAACACGUACGCAAUCUACCCAAAACUGGUGAAUAGCCCUCCGAAAGGAGGAUUAAUACACCGUAACCUAUUGAAGUGGCAUCACUUUACUAGUAUAGCUCCGGCGGUUUUGGAUGAGCGUGCGGCUGAUUAGGUAGUUGGCGGGGUAACGGCCCACCAAGCCUGCGAUCAGUAACUGGUGUGAGAGCACGACCAGUCACACGGGCACUGAGACACGGGCCCGACUCCUACGGGAGGCAGCAGUAAGGAAUAUUGGUCAAUGGACGCAAGUCUGAACCAGCCAUGCCGCGUGGAGGAUGAAGGCCCUCUGGGUUGUAAACUUCUUUUAUAGGGGACGAAACCCUGGUAUUCUUACCAGAUUGACGGUACCCUAGGAAUAAGCACCGGCUAACUCCGUGCCAGCAGCCGCGGUAAUACGGAGGGUGCAAGCGUUAUCCGGAUUCACUGGGUUUAAAGGGUGCGUACGAGGGCAGGUAAGUCAGUGGUGAAAUCUCCAAGCUUAACUUGGAAACUGCCGUUGAUACUAUCUGUCUUGAAUAUUGUGGAGGUGAGCGGAAUAUGUCAUGUAGCGGUGAAAUGCUUAGAUAUGACAUAGAAACACCAAUUGCGAAGGCAGCUCACUACACAAUCAUUGACUCUGAGGCACGAAAGCGUGGGGAUCAAACAGGAUUAGAUACCCUGGUAGUCCACGCCCU